This 250-nucleotide ribosomal RNA is filed under the name uncultured bacterium. Its description in RNAcentral is "partial 16S ribosomal RNA". It matches the Rfam family "Bacterial small subunit ribosomal RNA", at positions 524 to 773 of the family's 1533-position model. The record is from RNAcentral.
UACGUAGGGGGCAAGCGUUGUCCGGAAUCACUGGGCGUAAAGCGUGCGUAGGCGGUUUUUCAAGUCUGGGGUGAAAGUCCAUGGCUCAACCAUGGGAAUGCCUUGGAAACUGGGAGACUUGAGUACUGGAGAGGCAAGGGGAAUUCCACGUGUAGCGGUGAAAUGCGUAGAUAUGUGGAGGAAUACCAGUGGCGAAGGCGCCUUGCUGGACAGUUACUGACGCUGAGGCACGAAAGCGUGGGGAGCAAAC